GGAUGUGAGGGCGAUCUGGCUGCGACAUCUGUCACCCCAUUGAUCGCCAGGGUUGAUUCGGCUGAUCUGACUGCCUAGGCGGGUGUCCCCUUCCUCCGUCACCACUCCAUGUGCGUCCCUCCCGAAGCUGCACACUUGGUCGAAGAGGACGACCAUCCCCGAUAGAGAGGACCAUUCUUCGGUCAAGGGUAUACGAGUAACUGCACUCCCCUGCUAGAACCUCCAAACAAGCUCUCAUAUAAAUAUAUGAAGUCCAUCAACCAUAUACCCUUACCUUAA
This 279-nucleotide small nuclear RNA is filed under the name Castor canadensis (American beaver). RNAcentral describes it as "7SK RNA (ENSCCNG00000027048.1)". It matches the Rfam family "7SK RNA". From Rfam's summary of the family: 7SK was discovered as an abundant small nuclear RNA in the mid-70s but a possible function has only recently been suggested. Two independent studies have found that 7SK RNA binds the CDK9/cyclin T complex (known as elongation factor P-TEFb). Lineage: Eukaryota; Metazoa; Chordata; Mammalia; Rodentia; Castoridae. The record is from RNAcentral.